UCAGAGGAAUUUGUCUUUUUAUCGUCAUUACUCGUUUAUUUUCACUUUUUUUUUUAUUUUCUAUACCGCCGUCUUAAGAUAAACCCCCGAACUUUUGUCUCAAUCUCUUUUGACAAGUCAGGUCAAGGUGGAGAUUAUAAAAAAGUUUAGAUUAUUUAUUCAUAAAUGUAAUUUAAAGCCAGUUUUCUAAAGAUAACUGAAAUAAAGAUUUGAAAGUAGUCUUUAAUUAAAAAUUAAGAACGAACUUGUCACAGGUGUACAUAUCGCCCGUCACCCUCGUCUAAAGAUGAGGUAAGUCGUAACAUAGUUAGUGUACUGGAAAGUGCACUAAGGGGAAUUAAAAGCUUUAGCGUUUCAUUUACACAGAAAAGAGUGAUUAUUCAAUUAUCUUAAGUCUUAUUUAUUUAAAUCACUAUUCAUUUCCUUUUAUUUUUCUACUCUUUUUUUAAACCGUAAGGGGAAUAAGAUUGAUUCUAAGAAACUUUUUUUACCUUUUGUAUCAGGGUGAGUCAAACUUCUUCUUAAAAAAUUUAUUCCCGAAAUAAAAUGAGCUACUUUAUUUAUUAUAUUUUAUAGCAAAAAAAUAGUAAAAAUUUAGUAGAAGUGAAAUUCCAUACGUAUUUUCUUAUAUCUGGUUUUUUCAAAAAGUAUAAUUACUUAAACCUAAAAAGGGAUAAUCUUUUUUAAAUAUCUAUUUUCCAUUUUAUUCAUCCUCCUAGGAUUAGAAGUGUCUUCUAGUGUAAAAACUUUUAUUGUAACGCCCAGAUAAAUUUUAUUAUGAAAUAUUGUUCCUUUUUUAGGAGACAAUGAUUCAAUCAGUAAAGAUCUAUUUAACCCAUUCUUUUAAAUAUUCUAAAACUAUUUUUCUAACUUCUUUUCAUGAACUUGGCUAAGUUUUCUGACUGUUUACCAAAAACAUUUCUGAAUGUUUUUCUUUUCAGUAAGACCUGCUCAAUGAUAUUUUUCAAUAGCCGCAAUUUACGUGCUAAGGUAGCAUAAUCAUUUGCCUUAUAAUUUAAGGCUAGUAUGAAAGGUUUAACAUGAUAACUUCUUUGUAAAUAAAACUCCUAGAAUUUUACUUAUAAGUAAAAAGGCUUAUAUUUAAAAGGGGGACGACAAGACCCUAUCGAGCUUUACUACUUUAGUUGAACUGGGGUGGUAAAAAACCAAAUCUUUUCAUUUCGUUUCUUUUCAUCCUUAUAAUAAGAUUCCCAAGUUACCGUAGGGAUAACAGCAUAAUUUUUUUCUAGAGACCUUAUCUAAAAAAAAGAUUGUGACCUCGAUGUUGAAUUAAUU
Molecule: ribosomal RNA, 1296 nt
Filed under: Myrmekiaphila torreya
Lineage: Eukaryota; Metazoa; Arthropoda; Arachnida; Araneae; Euctenizidae
Description: partial 16S large subunit ribosomal RNA
Source: RNAcentral